AUGUCCUUUGCAAGCACACCUCAUUUCUUCACUUGGGUUGGUUUAUCAUUUUUCCUGGCUUUUUUCCUUAGUUUCUCUGGGGUUUCAUCCUUGGGCACACCAAAAGUUAAUGCCCAGCUUCCCCAAAAGGCUCAGUCUUCAUUUGUUUCUUACAUUUUCCUUUCAGAUUGUUGUUAUCUUCAUCUCCCUUUUGCUUAUAAUUUUCUUCCAAUUCUCCCAAAAUGUGCUUUGGGAAAACUGGAAUCGGUUCAUCAUUAUAGUUUAAAGCAUUGA
Molecule: non-coding RNA, 273 nt
Organism: Vicia faba (fava bean)
Lineage: Eukaryota; Viridiplantae; Streptophyta; Magnoliopsida; Fabales; Fabaceae
Source: the annotation of a GenBank genome assembly